AUUCUGAAAGGGCAUUAUUUCAGCAUUACUUUGUUAGGGAGGCAGUGGGGGCCCUUGGGAGGAAACCCCAUGGUCCUUCCGCUUGGGGCAACCAGCUCAGGAGGAAGUACCAUGUGCUGGUUCCCAACUCAGCGGGAGAGUCAACAGUGUGUUCUCGUGGGCCAGCCAGGCAUCAGGGAUCCUGCUCCCUGGAAGCCUCUCUGUGAGCUCCCUGCCCCGUGGCUGCAAGCAUAUCCGAGGCUAAGGCGGGCCUUCCAGGAGGCUCACACUCAGCCAGGCUUCUCUGUGGAGGUAAGGGCACCAGAACGCGGAAUAAACUUGUACUAAGAACAUAUACCUUCUAUCACAAGUUGGGUGCACUGGGAAACAGACUCCGACAGAGACUUCGGCUUGCAGGAGGUUUACAGGGGAAGGCUCUCACAGUGGAGGAAGCAGAACCAGGCAGAGGGAACAGUUGAAUUGUGAUGUAGUCACAACAAAGGCCUCAGCUGACCCCAUGGGGAGCUGUGAGCUGGGGGGACUUUCAGAGUCGCUCUGCAUUAAGAUGGAAAAAAGAAGCUUGGAGAAGGGGAAAUGACUUUACCCAGCUAAGAAUAUGGCAAAGCUGAGCCAACUAGUCAAGUUUUCUGACCCCAAAUCCUGUAUUUCCCAUGACUCAUCUUGUGGAAGGCUGAG
This 675-nucleotide long non-coding RNA is filed under the name Homo sapiens (human). RNAcentral describes it as "HSALNT0005143". Lineage: Eukaryota; Metazoa; Chordata; Mammalia; Primates; Hominidae. The record is from RNAcentral.